UACGAGUGGUCCAAGCGUUAUCCGGAAUUAUUGGGCGUAAAGGAUGUGUAGGUGGUUAUAUUAGUCUGGUGUCGAACCUCUCUGCUCAACAGGGAGACAGCAUUGGAAACGGUAUGACUAGAGUAUGUUAGGGGUAAGCGGAACUCAUAGUGUAGGGGUGAAAUCCGUUGAUAUUAUGGGGAACACCAAAAGCGAAGGCAGCUUACUGGAACAUUACUGACACUGAAACAUGAAAGCGUGGGUA
RNAcentral lists this ribosomal RNA (244 nucleotides) under uncultured bacterium. RNAcentral's name for it is "partial 16S ribosomal RNA". It matches the Rfam family "Bacterial small subunit ribosomal RNA", at positions 524 to 767 of the family's 1533-position model. The record is from RNAcentral.